RNAcentral lists this ribosomal RNA (253 nucleotides) under uncultured bacterium. Its description in RNAcentral is "partial 16S ribosomal RNA". It matches the Rfam family "Bacterial small subunit ribosomal RNA", at positions 524 to 776 of the family's 1533-position model. The record is from RNAcentral.
UACGUAGGGGGCAAGCGUUGUCCGGAUUUAUUAGGCGUAAAGAGCGUGUAGGCGGUUUGGUAGGUCCGCUGUGAAAACUCGAGGCUCAACCUCGAGACGCCGGUGGAAACCAUCAGACUAGAGUCCGGAAGAGGAGAGUGGAAUUCCUGGUGUAGCGGUGAAAUGCGCAGAUAUCAGGAAGAACACCCGUGGCUAAGGCGGCUCUCUAGUACGGUACUGACGCUGAGACGCGAAAGCGUGGGGAGCGAACAGG